Long non-coding RNA from Prosopis cineraria, 506 nucleotides. RefSeq lists it as uncharacterized. The transcript has 2 exons. Lineage: Eukaryota; Viridiplantae; Streptophyta; Magnoliopsida; Fabales; Fabaceae. The record is from RefSeq and is a predicted model, not a curated record.
UGGAGGUGGUGGAUGUGGCGGUGGUUGAGAAUUUUAUGGCAUCUGAUCGAUCUCAAUAUUGACUGGUUUCGUUUGCUUGUGCUUCUGUUCACCCGAAAGAUGGUCAGACAGAAAAGAUUCAACCAGACGUGGCAGCGUCGGCGGCCGAGUUUGAGGUGGUUAACACUCAUCCGAACGAUAAAUGUACUAUAUCUUAAUUUCCAAGGCAAUGGCGGCUUCUUGGAAUCAUUGUCCUGGUGAUAGGAACCCUCUUGUCAACGAUCAUCUUUAAGAUCUUAAAAUCUUGCGUAACUUAUUAUCUUCUUAUAUUAGAAGGAUUUUUAAUUUACUAUUAUAGAAAUUGGAAGGUUUAUGCAUGUGUGUGUGUAUUUGGUCAUGAUUUGUACUUGUGACUUGUUUAUGUACUUGUAAAGCACAAGGAGAUAGUUCUACCUGCAUUCCCAGCACAUUGAUGACUACUAUAUGAAAUUCAAGACAAUAUAUAAGCGAACAUUAUUUGAAAGUGA